Molecule: small RNA, 125 nt
Filed under: Marmota monax (woodchuck)
Lineage: Eukaryota; Metazoa; Chordata; Mammalia; Rodentia; Sciuridae
Source: RNAcentral
GCCAGGCAUGGUGGCGCAUACCUGUAAUCCCAGUGGCUUAGGAGGCUGAGGCAGGAAGAUCGAGAUUUCAAAGUCAGUCUAAGCAAAAAAGAGACAUUAAGCAACUCAGUGAGACCCUGUCUCUA